GACGAACGCUGGCGGCGUGCUUAACACACGCAAGUCGAACGGAAAGGCCCUGCUUUUGUGGGGUGCUCGAGUGGCGAACGGGUGAGUAACACGUGAGUAACCUGCCCUUGCCUUUGGGAUAACUUCAGGAAACUGGGGCUCAUACCGGAUAGGAGCUCCUGCUGCAUGGUGGGGGUUGGAAAGAUUCGGCGGUUGGGGAUGGACUCGCGGCUUAUCAGCUUGUUGGUGGGGUAGUGGCUUACCAAGGCUUUGACGGGUAGCCGGCCUGAGAGGGUGACCGGGCACAUUGGGACUGAGAUACGGGCCAGACUCCUGCGGGAGGCAGCAGUGGGGAAUAUUGCACAAUGGGCGGAAGCCGGAUGCAGCAACGCCGCGUGCGGGAUUACGGCCUUCGGGUUGUAAACCGCUUUCGCCUGUGAGGAAGCGUGAGUGACGGUAAUGGGUAAAGAAGCACCGGCUAACUACGUG
This 468-nucleotide ribosomal RNA is filed under the name uncultured bacterium. RNAcentral describes it as "partial 16S ribosomal RNA". It matches the Rfam family "Bacterial small subunit ribosomal RNA", at positions 28 to 507 of the family's 1533-position model. The record is from RNAcentral.